This 323-nucleotide ribosomal RNA is filed under the name uncultured Allapsidae. RNAcentral's name for it is "SSU rRNA". The stretch from base 108 to 323 matches the Rfam family "Eukaryotic small subunit ribosomal RNA", at positions 738 to 955 of the family's 1831-position model. The record is from RNAcentral. Lineage: Eukaryota; Cercozoa; Glissomonadida; Viridiraptoridae.
GAUUUCUGGUACAAUGCACCUGGCCCGCGGCCUAUUAGGCUUGUGAGUGCCGGCGCGCGUUUACCAUCCUUCUAGAAAUCAGGCCUGCCCUUUACUGGGUUGGGUUUGCGAUCUAGAUCUUUUACUUUGAAAAAAUUAGAGUGUUUAAAGCAGGCUUUUGCUAUGAAUACAUUAGCAUGGAAUAAUAAUCUAGGACUUCGGUUCUAUUUUGUUGGUUUCUAUAACUGAAGUAAUGAUUGAUAGGGAUAGUUGGGGGUGCUAGUAUUGGCCGGCCAGAGGUGAAAUUCUUGGAUUCGGUCAAGACUAACUUAUGCGAAAGCAUU